This 495-nucleotide ribosomal RNA is filed under the name uncultured bacterium. RNAcentral's name for it is "partial 16S ribosomal RNA". It matches the Rfam family "Bacterial small subunit ribosomal RNA", at positions 28 to 507 of the family's 1533-position model. The record is from RNAcentral.
GACGAACGCUGGCGGCGUGCCUAAUACAUGCAAGUCGAACGCUGAAGGAGGAGCUUGCUUCUCUGGAUGAGUUGCGAACGGGUGAGUAACGCGUAGGUAACCUGCCUGGUAGCGGGGGAUAACUAUUGGAAACGAUAGCUAAUACCGCAUAACAGUAGAUAUCGCAUGAUAUCUACUUGAAAGGUGCAAUUGCAUCACUUCCAGAUGGACCUGCUUUGUAUUAGCUAGGUGGUGAGGUAACGGCUCACCAAGGCGACGAUACAUAGCCGACCUGUGAGGGGGAUCGGCCACCCUGGGAGUGAGACACGGCCCAGACUCCUACGGGAGGCAGCAGUAGGGAAUCUUCGGCAAUGGACGGAAGUCUGACCGAGCAACGCCGCGGGAGUGAAGAAGGGUUUCGGAUCGUAAAGCUCUGUUGUAAGAGAAGAACGAGUGUGAGAGUGGAAAGUUCACACUGUGACGGUAUCUUACCAGAAAGAGACGGCUAACCACGUG